GCGGAAACGCUCAGUCGCGAGACUUCGGCACGCAACGCGGAUAUCUCAUCCCGGCACACCGCUAGCGCACGAUUUUGUUCCAGGACGAGACGUUCCCAAUCCGAGGCGCCCGCUGCCUCCAUAGUACGGCGAAGUAAUCUGUUACGAAGCGCUGACGGAGACAAGCGCGGGCGAGCGAAGAGAUGGCGUGUGACCGAACACAGGACGAGAAUCGACUCGGGACCGAGCAGCAUGACAAGCUGUGUAUUGUGCCCUGCGAUGGAUUGGCACCCUGUCCAGCGUAUACUCUGCCUUGUGCCCGAUGCUUCCUGGGAUAGGCUCCAGGUUCCCCCGUGACCCUGAAAGCGGUUGAAGAUGGAUGGAUGGAUGGAUGGAUGGAUGGAUGGACAAGCUGUGUUUAUAUCUGCUAUAAUUUAAGUCCGAACAGGAACGAACUUGCUUGUGCAGAUCUUCCUCAACAUUUAACAUAACUAUAAAUGAAUGACUGAAUGAACGAAUGGUAUAAGAG
This is a long non-coding RNA of Ictalurus punctatus (channel catfish), 508 nucleotides long. The record is from Ensembl. Lineage: Eukaryota; Metazoa; Chordata; Actinopteri; Siluriformes; Ictaluridae.